GGAGGCGGCCGCUAUCAGGCUCCGACUAAGCCAUGCAAGUCUUACGGGGGCUUCGGCCUCCGUGGCGGACGGCUCAGUAACACGUGGCCAACCUACCCUCAGGACUGGGAUAACCCCGGGAAACUGGGGCUAAUCCCAGAUAGGUGCGGUCUCCUGGAAUGGGUCCGCACCCAAAGGGGGCUCUGCCCCGCCUGAGGAUGGGGCUGCGGCCGAUCAGGCAGUUGGUGGGGUAACGGCCCACCAAGCCUGUGACCGGUACGGGCUGUGGGAGCAGGAGCCCGGAGAUGGGGACUGAGACAAGGCCCCAGGCCCUAAGGGGCGCAGCAGGCGCGAAAAUUCCGCAAUGCGGGAAACCGUGACGGAGGGAGCCUGAGUGCUGCCUAAUGGCAGCUGUGGCCGGGUGUAAAAAGCCCGGUCUAGCAAGGGGAGGGCAAGGCUGGUGCCAGCAGCCGCGGUAAAACCAGCUCCUCGAGUGGCCGCCACUUUUAUUGGGCUUAAAGCGUCCGUAGCCGGCCUGGUAAGUGCCUGGUUAAACCCAGCAGAAAACUGCUGGAUUGCCAGGCAUACUGCCAGGCUAGGAGGCGGGAGAGGCCGAGGGUAUUCCCGGAGUAGGGGUAAAAUCCUGUAAUCCCGGGAGGACCACCAGUGGCGAAGGCGCUCGGCCAGAACGCGCUCGACGGUGAGGGACGAAAGCCAGGGGAGCGAAGGGGAUUAGAUACCCCCGUAGUCCUGGCCGUAAACGAUGCAGACUAGGUGUUGCACCGCUCUCGGGGCGGUGCAGUGCCGAAGGGAAACCGUUAAGUCUGCCGCCUGGGGAGUACGGCCGCAAGGCUGAAACUUAAAGGAAUUGGCGGGGGAGCACUACAAGGCGUGAACGCCUGCGGUUUAAUCGGAUUCAACGCCGGAAACCUUACCGGGGGAGACAGCAGGAUGAAGGUCAGGCUGAAGACCUUACCAGACGAGCUGAGAGGUGGUGCAUGGCCGUCGUCAGCUCGUGCCGUGAGGCAUCCUGUUAACUCAGGGAACGGGCGAGACCCGCAUCCCCAGUUGCUAAUGGACCCCGAAAGGGGUUCAUGCAAACUGGGGAGACCGCUGCCGUUUAAGGCAGAGGAAGGAGCGGGCGACGGCAGGUCGGUAUGCCCCGAAACCCCCGGGCCACACGCGGGCUGCAAUGGCAGGGACAGAGGGAUCCGACCCCGAGAGGGGAAGGUAAUCCCUAAACCCUGCCGUAGUUAGGAUCGAGGGCUGCAACUCGCCCUCGUGAAUAUGGAAUGCCCAGUAACCGCGUGCCACCAUCGCGCGGUGAAUACGUCCCUGCUCCUUGCACACACUGCCCGUCAACUCACCCGAGUUGAGCUUAGCUGAGGCGGGUCGAGUUGGCUCCGUAGAAGCUAAGCUCGACGAGGGGGG
RNAcentral lists this ribosomal RNA (1410 nucleotides) under uncultured archaeon. RNAcentral's name for it is "16S ribosomal RNA". It matches the Rfam family "Archaeal small subunit ribosomal RNA". The record is from RNAcentral.